GACGAACGCUGGCGGCGCGCCUAACACAUGCAAGUCGAACGGAGCUGAGAGAAGCUUGCUUUUCUUAGCUUAGUGGCGAACGGGUGAGUAACGCGUGAGUAACCUGCCCUGGAGUGGGGGACAACAGUUGGAAACGACUGCUAAUACCGCAUAAGCCCACGAUCCGGCAUCGGAUUGAGGGAAAAGGAUUUAUUCGCUUCAGGAUGGACUCGCGUCCAAUUAGCUAGUUGGUGAGGUAACGGCCCACCAAGGCGACGAUUGGUAGCCGGACUGAGAGGUUGAACGGCCACAUUGGGACUGAGACACGGCCCAGACUCCUACGGGAGGCAGCAGUGGGGGAUACUGCACAAUGGGGGAAACCCUGAUGCAGCGACGCCGCGUGGAGGAAGAAGGUUUUCGGAUUGUAAACUCCUGUCGUUAGGGACGAUAAUGACGGUACCUAACAAGAAAGCACCGGCUAACUACGUG
This 468-nucleotide ribosomal RNA is filed under the name uncultured bacterium. RNAcentral's name for it is "partial 16S ribosomal RNA". It matches the Rfam family "Bacterial small subunit ribosomal RNA", at positions 28 to 507 of the family's 1533-position model. The record is from RNAcentral.